Pristis pectinata (smalltooth sawfish) is the source of this 991-nucleotide long non-coding RNA. RefSeq lists it as uncharacterized. The record is from RefSeq and is a predicted model, not a curated record. NCBI's taxonomy places the organism in Eukaryota, Metazoa, Chordata, Chondrichthyes, Rhinopristiformes, Pristidae. The transcript is spliced from 2 exons.
CGAAGGUGCUACAAAUGGCAGGAAGGGCCAGCUCUCCAUGCUCCUGCUACCAGGAGAGCAACUAUAUUGGAUAAACAGAUUGAAAUCGAAAUGUGAAAAUCAUGGGCAUUGCAGCUUUAAAAAGAAGACAUUUGUUGCACAGUCAAACACUGGAAACCAUGGAGACUAACAGACUGAAGUGACUUGAAAAGCCCAGUGGGAGCUUGACAGUGACAAAUGAAUCAUUAACAAUACCUACAAUAACCGAAAAAGAGUCAGUAGAUCCAUAUGGGAGCUAGACACAGCAUGCCUCAUCAGCCUCUCAACAAUUUCCCCACAACUGAUGUCCAGAUAUUCUCUGACAGCCAUUUUUCAUGUCUGUCCCCUUUUAGUUGCCUCACUGCACUUCCUCCUUCAGCCAGAAAGCCAGGAUGGUUGUAAGCGUGACUUUCUCCACAGCUGCCAUCAAUAAAGCUUUUUAAUUGACCAACAAGAAAUACACUCUUAAGGUCAGUAGCAGAAAUGGGCAGUUUUUCUUUCUGGUUGACAUCUGUGCAGCGGCUGUUGCUGCUGAGUGACCCAUCCAAUGGCCUUGAUGAAAGUUAUGAAACUCACUAAAACAGGGUUAUUGACUCUGAGUAUCAGUUUAAUUUGGGAAUUGAACUUUAGCCUUCUGGAAGGGAAUCUAACGCUUUGCCAUUGGACCAACUAAUAGUUUGGUAAAUGGAGUCCUGAUAAAACAAAUAUAGUCUGGAAAUGAAAUGUACAAUAGCAACGAAUAGGCAGAAGUUACAGCAAAUAUUUAUUCUGGGUUAAGGAUUUCUAGCUUGCUCCCUUUGCAAUUAAAACUUUAAUUUCUGAGAUUUUUAGUUUCAUGGUAAAACGGCUACUGGAGCUGAGAUUUCAUUUAACUUAAUUUUAUGACUACCAGAAGGUUGUUUUACUGGUAUGAUUAUUUAUUAUUUCUGAAUAUCUCCUGAUCAGCAGAAUAAAAACAUUUCUUGGUUGUUGA